Molecule: ribosomal RNA, 212 nt
Filed under: Salmonella enterica subsp. enterica serovar Heidelberg
Lineage: Bacteria; Pseudomonadati; Pseudomonadota; Gammaproteobacteria; Enterobacterales; Enterobacteriaceae
Description: partial 23S ribosomal RNA
Rfam family: Bacterial large subunit ribosomal RNA
Source: RNAcentral
UGUAACGGGGCUAAACCAUGCACCGAAGCUGCGGCAGCGAACGUAUCACUUAAAGCGAUUCAGCGGGUUACGAUUGACGGAGCGAAGCGACGUCAAAGCGUAUACAAAGUCGAGUCGGUUUAAGGAUACGUUCGUUGGGUAGGGGAGCGUUCUGUAAGCCUGUGAAGGUGGCCUGUGAGGGUUGCUGGAGGUAUCAGAAGUGCGAAUGCUGA